This 322-nucleotide ribosomal RNA is filed under the name uncultured Acholeplasma sp. Its description in RNAcentral is "bacterial SSU rRNA". It matches the Rfam family "Bacterial small subunit ribosomal RNA", at positions 1061 to 1382 of the family's 1533-position model. Lineage: Bacteria; Bacillati; Mycoplasmatota; Mollicutes; Acholeplasmatales; Acholeplasmataceae. The record is from RNAcentral.
CGUGUCGUGAGAUGUUGGGUUAAGUCCCGCAACGAGCGCAACCCUACUUGCUAGUUACCAUCAUUAAGUUUGGGGACGUCUAGCGAGACUGCCAGUGAUAAACUGGAGGAAGGUGGGGAUGACGUCAAAUCAUCAUGCCCCUUAUGACCUGGGCUACAAACGUGAUACAAUGGCUGGAACAAAGGGAUGCGAAGCAGUGAUGUGGAGCGAAACCCAUAAAAACAGUCUCAGUUCGGAUUGAAGUCUGCAACUCGACUUCAUGAAGUCGGAAUCGCUAGUAAUCGCGGAUCAGAACGCCGCGGUGAAUACGUUCUCGGGGUUU